RNAcentral lists this ribosomal RNA (622 nucleotides) under uncultured archaeon. RNAcentral describes it as "bacterial SSU rRNA". It matches the Rfam family "Archaeal small subunit ribosomal RNA", at positions 147 to 774 of the family's 1478-position model. The record is from RNAcentral.
UAAUACCCUAUAGGUUACGGGUGCUGGAAUGCCCUGUAACCGAAAGUUCCGACGCCUUAGGAUGGAUCUGCGGCCGAUUAGGUUGUUGUCGGGGUAAUGGCCCAACAAGCCAGUGAUCGGUACGGGUUGUGGGAGCAAGAGCCCGGAGUUGGAUUCUGAGACACGAAUCCAGGCCCUACGGGGCGCAGCAGGCGCGAAAACUUUACAAUGCGGGCAACCGUGAUAAGGGAACCUCGAGUGCCUGUAUAUGCAGGCUGUCCAGGUGUCUAAAACACACCUGAAGAAAGGGCCGGGCAAGACCGGUGCCAGCCGCCGCGGUAAUACCGGCGGCUCGAGUGGUGGCCACUUUUAUUGGGCUUAAAGCGUUCGUAGCUGGGUUGUUAAGUCUCUUGGGAAAUCCGGCAGCUUAACUGUCGGGCGUCUAAGGGAUACUGGUAAUCUUGGAGCCGGGAGAGGUGAGGGGUACUUCGGGGGUAGGAGUGAAAUCCUGUAAUCCUCGAGGGACCACCGAUGGCGAAGGCAUCUUACCAAAACGGCUUCGACAGUGAGGAACGAAAGCUGGGGGAGCGAACGGGAUUAGAUACCCCGGUAGUCCCAGCCGUAAACGAUGCGCGUUAGGUGU